This 2787-nucleotide ribosomal RNA is filed under the name Escherichia coli. RNAcentral's name for it is "bacterial LSU rRNA". It matches the Rfam family "Bacterial large subunit ribosomal RNA". Lineage: Bacteria; Pseudomonadati; Pseudomonadota; Gammaproteobacteria; Enterobacterales; Enterobacteriaceae. The record is from RNAcentral.
AGCGUACACGGUGGAUGCCCUGGCAGUCAGAGGCGAUGAAGGACGUGCUAAUCUGCGAUAAGCGUCGGUAAGGUGAUAUGAACCGUUAUAACCGGCGAUUUCCGAAUGGGGAAACCCAGUGUGUUUCGACACACUAUCAUUAACUGAAUCCAUAGGUUAAUGAGGCGAACCGGGGGAACUGAAACAUCUAAGUACCCCGAGGAAAAGAAAUCAACCGAGAUUCCCCCAGUAGCGGCGAGCGAACGGGGAGGAGCCCAGAGCCUGAAUCAGUGUGUGUGUUAGUGGAAGCGUCUGGAAAGGCGCGCGAUACAGGGUGACAGCCCCGUACACAAAAAUGCACAUGCUGUGAGCUCGAUGAGUAGGGCGGGACACGUGGUAUCCUGUCUGAAUAUGGGGGGACCAUCCUCCAAGGCUAAAUACUCCUGACUGACCGAUAGUGAACCAGUACCGUGAGGGAAAGGCGAAAAGAACCCCGGCGAGGGGAGUGAAAAAGAACCUGAAACCGUGUACGUACAAGCAGUGGGAGCCUCUUAAUGGGGUGACUGCGUACCUUUUGUAUAAUGGGUCAGCGACUUAUAUUCUGUAGCAAGGUUAACCGAAUAGGGGAGCCGAAGGGAAACCGAGUCUUAACUGGGCGUUAAGUUGCAGGGUAUAGACCCGAAACCCGGUGAUCUAGCCAUGGGCAGGUUGAAGGUUGGGUAACACUAACUGGAGGACCGAACCGACUAAUGUUGAAAAAUUAGCGGAUGACUUGUGGCUGGGGGUGAAAGGCCAAUCAAACCGGGAGAUAGCUGGUUCUCCCCGAAAGCUAUUUAGGUAGCGCCUCGUGAAUUCAUCUCCGGGGGUAGAGCACUGUUUCGGCAAGGGGGUCAUCCCGACUUACCAACCCGAUGCAAACUGCGAAUACCGGAGAAUGUUAUCACGGGAGACACACGGCGGGUGCUAACGUCCGUCGUGAAGAGGGAAACAACCCAGACCGCCAGCUAAGGUCCCAAAGUCAUGGUUAAGUGGGAAACGAUGUGGGAAGGCCCAGACAGCCAGGAUGUUGGCUUAGAAGCAGCCAUCAUUUAAAGAAAGCGUAAUAGCUCACUGGUCGAGUCGGCCUGCGCGGAAGAUGUAACGGGGCUAAACCAUGCACCGAAGCUGCGGCAGCGACACUAUGUGUUGUUGGGUAGGGGAGCGUUCUGUAAGCCUGUGAAGGUGGCCUGUGAGGGUUGCUGGAGGUAUCAGAAGUGCGAAUGCUGACAUAAGUAACGAUAAAGCGGGUGAAAAGCCCGCUCGCCGGAAGACCAAGGGUUCCUGUCCAACGUUAAUCGGGGCAGGGUGAGUCGACCCCUAAGGCGAGGCCGAAAGGCGUAGUCGAUGGGAAACAGGUUAAUAUUCCUGUACUUGGUGUUACUGCGAAGGGGGGACGGAGAAGGCUAUGUUGGCCGGGCGACGGUUGUCCCGGUUUAAGCGUGUAGGCUGGUUUUCCAGGCAAAUCCGGAAAAUCAAGGCUGAGGCGUGAUGACGAGGCACUACGGUGCUGAAGUGACAAAUGCCCUGCUUCCAGGAAAAGCCUCUAAGCAUCAGGUAACAUCAAAUCGUACCCCAAACCGACACAGGUGGUCAGGUAGAGAAUACCAAGGCGCUUGAGAGAACUCGGGUGAAGGAACUAGGCAAAAUGGUGCCGUAACUUCGGGAGAAGGCACGCUGAUAUGUAGGUGAAGCGACUUGCUCGUGGAGCUGAAAUCAGUCGAAGAUACCAGCUGGCUGCAACUGUUUAUUAAAAACACAGCACUGUGCAAACACGAAAGUGGACGUAUACGGUGUGACGCCUGCCCGGUGCCGGAAGGUUAAUUGAUGGGGUUAGCGGUAACGCGAAGCUCUUGAUCGAAGCCCCGGUAAACGGCGGCCGUAACUAUAACGGUCCUAAGGUAGCGAAAUUCCUUGUCGGGUAAGUUCCGACCUGCACGAAUGGCGUAAUGAUGGCCAGGCUGUCUCCACCCGAGACUCAGUGAAAUUGAACUCGCUGUGAAGAUGCAGUGUACCCGCGGCAAGACGGAAAGACCCCGUGAACCUUUACUAUAGCUUGACACUGAACAUUGAGCCUUGAUGUGUAGGAUAGGUGGGAGGCUUUGAAGUGUGGACGCCAGUCUGCAUGGAGCCGACCUUGAAAUACCACCCUUUAAUGUUUGAUGUUCUAACGUUGGCCCGUAAUCCGGGUUGCGGACAGUGUCUGGUGGGUAGUUUGACUGGGGCGGUCUCCUCCUAAAGAGUAACGGAGGAGCACGAAGGUUGGCUAAUCCUGGUCGGACAUCAGGAGGUUAGUGCAAUGGCAUAAGCCAGCUUGACUGCGAGCGUGACGGCGCGAGCAGGUGCGAAAGCAGGUCAUAGUGAUCCGGUGGUUCUGAAUGGAAGGGCCAUCGCUCAACGGAUAAAAGGUACUCCGGGGAUAACAGGCUGAUACCGCCCAAGAGUUCAUAUCGACGGCGGUGUUUGGCACCUCGAUGUCGGCUCAUCACAUCCUGGGGCUGAAGUAGGUCCCAAGGGUAUGGCUGUUCGCCAUUUAAAGUGGUACGCGAGCUGGGUUUAGAACGUCGUGAGACAGUUCGGUCCCUAUCUGCCGUGGGCGCUGGAGAACUGAGGGGGGCUGCUCCUAGUACGAGAGGACCGGAGUGGACGCAUCACUGGUGUUCGGGUUGUCAUGCCAAUGGCACUGCCCGGUAGCUAAAUGCGGAAGAGAUAAGUGCUGAAAGCAUCUAAGCACGAAACUUGCCCCGAGAUGAGUUCUCCCUGACUCCUUGA